RNAcentral lists this ribosomal RNA (253 nucleotides) under uncultured bacterium. RNAcentral's name for it is "partial 16S ribosomal RNA". It matches the Rfam family "Bacterial small subunit ribosomal RNA", at positions 524 to 776 of the family's 1533-position model. The record is from RNAcentral.
UACGAAGGGGGCUAGCGUUGCUCGGAUUGACUGGGCGUAAAGGGCGCGUAGGCGGUUCGUACAGUCAGACGUGAAAUUCCUGGGCUCAACCUGGGGGCUGCGUUUGAUACGUGCGGACUUGAGUGCGGAAGAGGGUAGUGGAAUUCCCAGUGUAGAGGUGAAAUUCGUAGAUAUUGGGAAGAACACCGGUGGCGAAGGCGGCGACCUGGUCCGAUACUGACGCUGAGGCGCGAAAGCGUGGGGAGCAAACAGG